ACCUGCCCAUUGAGAUUUGAAAGGCCGCGGUAUUAUGACCGUGCUAAGGUAGCAUAAUCAUUAGUCUUUUAAUUGGAGGCUGGAAUGAAUGGUCGGACAAGAGAUAAGCUGUCUUAAGUGAAAAUAUUGAAUUUAACUUUUAAGUGAAAAGGCUUAAAUCUUCUAGGGGGACGAUAAGACCCUAUAAAACUUUAUAUUUUGAAAUAAUAAUUAAUUUUGUGUGGAAGUUUUAUUUUUAAGUAUUUUAUUGGGGUGAUAAGGAUAAAAUAACAAGUAACUGUCUUUUUUUAUUACAAUAAUAUUUGAGCAAAUGAACCUGAUAAGGGAAAGAAGAUUAAGUUACUUUAGGGAUAACAGCGUAAUUUUUUUUUAAGAGUUCUUAUCGACAAAAAAGUUUGCGACCUCGAUGUUGAAUUAAAAAUUCUUUAUGGAGCAGAAACUAUAAAAGAAGGUCUGUUCGACCUUUAAAAUUUUAC
Molecule: ribosomal RNA, 476 nt
Filed under: Austropotamobius torrentium (stone crayfish)
Lineage: Eukaryota; Metazoa; Arthropoda; Malacostraca; Decapoda; Astacidae
Description: partial 16S ribosomal RNA
Rfam family: Bacterial large subunit ribosomal RNA
Source: RNAcentral